AAAAAAAAAAAUUAAUUGGAAAUAACACUGCAAUCUAUAAGUUCUUUAUCUGACAGAAGGCUGUAACACUAUGUCACUACAAAAUUACGAUAUGGCUACUAUAACGAUACUGCAGCUUACACUACUUGAGUCUGUCAUGGAAUAUGGUAGAUAGUGUCAGUAGUUUGAAAAUCACACAACCGAUUGGGAAAGUUUGACACUAGGUCCAUUUUGGAAUAGGAAACAUGGAAUGUAGAAAACUAGAAAGCUAAUAAAGGAAAAAUAAAUAAAUUUAAAAAAUAAGUUUAAUGAAGUACCCACAUAAUAAAGCUCUACCAAGAUGGAAAGUUUAUGUACAUGUGACAAGUCUAGAGAAGAUGUACUUACCACACAGAUGACAGUAAUAAACUGUACAUUUAUGACAAUUUUCAACAGUUAAGUGUGGUUUUAAAAUAGCAUCAUACAUAGUGUCAAACAUAUGGUUUUACAGAAUUCAGUUUUAUUACUGUAUUGAGGUUCUUAAGAAAUAUACUUUUGAUUAAUGUCCUUAAUUAGACAAAUACUAUCUCUUCAGGUUUCUAAGAAUCUACAUGCUAAAGAGCUGAGGGUCAAUACUCUAUGGCUGAAGAAUAACAAAAAGCAUCUUGCUAUGAUCCUGCAGCUCCUCUGGAAGCUUGCACUCGGGACUCUACAUGUCAUGCCUGAGGUAAAUCCAGUAGUGUGUCCUUCAGGCACAAGUCACAGGAAAGACUCCAGCCAGAUCAACAUGACUCUUCAUCAAUUAUGUGCCUCCCCUUGCUCCUGGUAAUGCAAUGAAAAGCUGAAAUGUCCUCCAGCAAUGUGAACAUGGAGCUGCAGUAGAUGCACACAUGAUGCUGAGACCACCCAGCAUCAGAUCACCCCUACACUGGAGAUUCUGGGAUAAAAGCACUCUGUAAGA
Tyto alba (common barn owl) is the source of this 919-nucleotide long non-coding RNA. RefSeq lists it as uncharacterized. The transcript is spliced from 3 exons. Lineage: Eukaryota; Metazoa; Chordata; Aves; Strigiformes; Tytonidae. The record is from RefSeq and is a predicted model, not a curated record.